This 596-nucleotide unclassified non-coding RNA is filed under the name Hevea brasiliensis (rubber tree). Lineage: Eukaryota; Viridiplantae; Streptophyta; Magnoliopsida; Malpighiales; Euphorbiaceae. The record is from RNAcentral.
UAAAAACAAAUAAAAAAAAAAAAAUUGACAACCUUCUUAGGGGAUUGAACAAUUGGUUUUUUGUUUUCCAGCAAUUAUGUGGAUAUAUUUGGAAGGUACUUAUAAGACCUAGAACUCAAUGAAUCCCCAUGCCUGUGUACAUAUAUGUGCAUGUGCGCUUUUUUCUAUUUGUAUGACUUUAAAGUUUUGUGAUUCUUGUUCUUGAACUCUAGGGGAACUUAAAAAUAUAACUUAAAACUCAUGAACUUUGAAAUUUUGUACCGUAAAAUUCUUCUAACCCUCAAUAGCCAAUUUAUAAGUAAUACGCUGAUAUAGACUAUUCUGAGUGACGAUAAUAUUAACGAUUGCAUUAUUUUUCGGAGAUAAAGUCUCUCUAAUUAGCUACUAUACGUCUAACACUUCAUUAUUUCGUAUGGCUGAAAUUCUUUCAUAGUUAAUUUGUGAAGAAAAUCAUAACUGGUUUUGUCAUUGUCACAUAGAGAAGAGAAAAUUGUCCUCUCUCCGUCGCUUUGGACUAUAUAAACCGGCUAUUGCCAAUCAAAAGGAUUUUAUUGUAUAAAAUUUCAAAGUUCAAGGGAUUUUAUGUUACAUUUUUA